GACGAACGCUGGCGGCGUGCUUAACACAUGCAAGUCGAACGGAAAGGCCCUGCUUGCAGGGUACUCGAGUGGCGAACGGGUGAGUAACACGUGGGUGAUCUGCCCUGCACUUCGGGAUAAGCCUGGGAAACUGGGUCUAAUACCGGCUAGGAGCCAUUUUUAGUGUGAUGGUUGGAAAGUUUUUUCGGUGUAGGAUGAGCUCGCGGCCUAUCAGCUUGUUGGUGGGGUAAUGGCCUACCAAGGCGGCGACGGGUAGCCGGCCUGGGAGGGUGGACGGCCACAUUGGGACUAGGGUACGGCCCAGACUCCUACGGGGGGCAGCGGGGGGAAAUAUUACAAAAUGGGGGCAAGUCUGAGGCAGCGGCGCCGGGUGGGGGAUAACGGCCUUCGGGUUGAAAACUCCUUUCGCAGGGGACGAAGUUUUUUUGGGCGGGACCAAGAAAAGAACCACCGGUGAACUACGG
This 464-nucleotide ribosomal RNA is filed under the name uncultured bacterium. RNAcentral describes it as "partial 16S ribosomal RNA". It matches the Rfam family "Bacterial small subunit ribosomal RNA", at positions 28 to 506 of the family's 1533-position model. The record is from RNAcentral.